Molecule: long non-coding RNA, 273 nt
Filed under: Gossypium barbadense (sea-island cotton)
Lineage: Eukaryota; Viridiplantae; Streptophyta; Magnoliopsida; Malvales; Malvaceae
Description: long non-coding RNA (GBAR_LNC016709)
Source: RNAcentral
AAACCUUAAUUUAAAACAGACUAAUCACAUUUUAAAAACAAAAACCCAAGGGAGAUAAAUCAUCCGCGCCGCUCUGUAAACAAUCCGUUCAUAGCCUCAAACACUCGUCUGGCUCGGAUUGCGACGGAGUAAACGAUGUUUAGGUAGCAGGUAAACUCCUAGCCCUUUACCUUCUCGUUUUUAUUUUAUUCUUCGCACAAAUAAUAAGUAAAAGAGAAAAGAAAAUCCGGAAAAGAGAGAAAAAUCUGAGAUCACCUUCAAUAUUCUGCUUUU